CAGCCGCCGCGGCAAUACCGGCGGCCCGAGUGGCGGUCUCUAUUAUUGGGCUUAAAGCGUCCGUAGCCGGGUUGGGAAGUCCUCCGGGAAAUCUGGCCGCUUAACGGUCAGAAUGCCGGAGGAUACUCCCAGCCUAGGGAGCGGGAGAGGCCGAGGGUAUUCCCGGAGUAGGGGUGAAAUCCUAUAAUCCCGGGAGGACCACCUGUGGCGAAGGCGCUCGGCUGGAACGCGUCCGACGGUGAGGGACGAAGGCCAGGGGAGCAAACCGGAUUAGAUACCCGGGUAGUCCUGGCUGUAAACGAUGCGGACUUUGUGUCGGACAAGCUAUGAGCUUGUCCGGUGCCGGAGGGAAACCGUUAAGUCCGCCGCCUGGGGAGUACGGCCGCAAGGCUGAAACUUAAAGGAAUUGGCGGG
RNAcentral lists this ribosomal RNA (414 nucleotides) under uncultured microorganism. Its description in RNAcentral is "bacterial SSU rRNA". It matches the Rfam family "Archaeal small subunit ribosomal RNA", at positions 459 to 872 of the family's 1478-position model. The record is from RNAcentral.